Molecule: ribosomal RNA, 479 nt
Filed under: uncultured bacterium
Lineage: Bacteria
Description: partial 16S ribosomal RNA
Rfam family: Bacterial small subunit ribosomal RNA
Source: RNAcentral
AACAAACGCUGGCGGUGUGCCUAAUACAUGCAAGUCGAACGGGGAAAGCUUUCGGGUGAGUACUAGUGGCGCACGGGUGAGUAACGCGUGGAUAAUCUGCCCUCGAAUGGGGAAUAACUAGUCGAAAGAUUAGCUAAUACCGCAUAAGACCACGACUACUGAGGUAGUUGGGGUCAAAGGAGCAAUUCGUUUGAGGAUGAGUCCGCGUAAGAUUAGCUAGUUGGUGAGGUAAUGGCUCACCAAGGCGACGAUCUUUAACUGGUCUGAGAGGAUGAUCAGUCACACUGGAACUGAGACACGGUCCAGACUCCUACGGGAGGCAGCAGUAGGGAAUAUUGGACAAUGGGGGCAACCCUGAUCCAGCGACGCCGCGUGAGCGAUGAAGGCCUUCGGGUCGUAAAGCUCUGUUGUAAGGGAAAAAGUUCUGAUUGUACCUUACGAGAAAGGAUCGGCUAACUUCGUGCCAGCCGCCGCAGUAA